RNAcentral lists this ribosomal RNA (242 nucleotides) under uncultured bacterium. RNAcentral describes it as "partial 16S ribosomal RNA". It matches the Rfam family "Bacterial small subunit ribosomal RNA", at positions 535 to 776 of the family's 1533-position model. The record is from RNAcentral.
CAAGAGUUAAUCGGAAUUACUGGGCGUAAAGCGCGCGUAGGCGGCUAAGUAAGUCGGGUGUGAAAGCCCCGGGCUCAACCUGGGAACUGCAUCCGAUACUGUUUGGCUAGAGUAUGAGAGAGGGAGGUAGAAUUCCACGUGUAGCGGUGAAAUGCGUAGAUAUGUGGAGGAAUACCGGUGGCGAAGGCGGCCUCCUGGCUCAAUACUGACGCUGAGGUGCGAAAGCGUGGGGAGCAAACAGG